This 253-nucleotide ribosomal RNA is filed under the name uncultured bacterium. RNAcentral's name for it is "partial 16S ribosomal RNA". It matches the Rfam family "Bacterial small subunit ribosomal RNA", at positions 524 to 776 of the family's 1533-position model. The record is from RNAcentral.
UACAGAGGGGGCAAGCGUUGUUCGGAAUUAUUGGGCGUAAAGCGCACGUAGGCGGCUUGGCAAGUCGGAUGUGAAAUCCCUCGGCUCAACCAAGGAAGUGCAUCCGAAACUGCUGAGCUUGAGUUCUUAAGAGGAUCGCGGAAUUCCCGGUGUAGAGGUGAAAUUCGUAGAUAUCGGGAGGAACACCAGUGGCGAAGGCGGCUCACUGGACCGGUACUGACGCUGAUGCGCGAAAGCGUGGGGAGCAAACGGG